GACGUAGGGGGCGAGCGUUGUCCGGAUUUAUUGGGCGUAAAGCGUGCGUAGGCGGCUGCGCAAGUCGGUUGUGAAACCCCGGGGCUCAACCCCGGAACUGCAUCCGAUACUGCGUGGCUAGAGGUAGGUAGGGGAGAUCGGAAUUCCUGGUGUAGCGGUGAAAUGCGCAGAUAUCAGGAGGAACACCGGUGGCGAAGGCGGAUCUCUGGGCCUUACCUGGCGCUCAGGCACGAAAGCUAGGGGAGCGAACAGG
Molecule: ribosomal RNA, 253 nt
Filed under: uncultured bacterium
Lineage: Bacteria
Description: partial 16S ribosomal RNA
Rfam family: Bacterial small subunit ribosomal RNA
Source: RNAcentral